Molecule: long non-coding RNA, 4983 nt
Filed under: Sus scrofa (pig)
Lineage: Eukaryota; Metazoa; Chordata; Mammalia; Artiodactyla; Suidae
Description: lncRNA (ENSSSCG00055025966.1)
Source: RNAcentral
GAGCAGCAGCAGAAAUGCAAGCCAGAACUCACGAAAAUCUGGGCUGAGGCACCUCUGCCGAUGUCAGUGACAGCUCAUGAACAGCAGUCAACCCUGAGUCCGGCAUCGGCAAUGGAUGGAGGAGACAGGGCGAAGCUGGCCUGGAAGCGCCUGAGGGCUUUCCCAUGAUCCUCGCAGGAGUUCAGCCGGAGGAGGGCACGGACCAGUCGGAGGAGGAACUCACUCAUUUGGCAGAGGGAGGUCUUCUCCAACAGUCACAGCGACUUAGUCUCCCUUGGGCUGAGAGGGGCAGACGUGAUGUUGAAAGGCAACCAGCAGGAGACAACGGAGUGUCGCUCACCGUCUAAUGACUGCCUCAGGGUGUCAUCCCUUCCGCCAGCUCAGGUGCCCACAGAGCCCUUGGCACAGCACCCCAGACAGACUAAGUGGUCAGCACGUGCGAACUAUUACCAGGAUUCUUAUCAACCGAACACUGGUCACUUGGUUAAGAUUAUCUAAAUUCUCAGAGCGAAUGAAAAACAUCGGUGACGUAGAAAGGUUUACGGAACCCCAAUUCGCUAGAAACCGCGCCUUCCUGGGCCCCUGCGACUACGCUCCUGCCAGGAUGCAGGAUGUAGGCGAGGAUACCAAGGCCUUUCUUCUUCCUCAAUCCACACGACUCUCCCUGUUUCAUCACCUGGACGCUGCACCCCACGUACCACUUCCUGUGAAAUGCCUGGCAGAGCUUCCUGGUACGUGUUUAAACAUAGGCUCCUCUGAAGAAAUUACGAUACAGUCUGCAUGUGAGCAAACCCAUCACGUGCGGAGUCAGCCUGGAAAACACCCCACUGACCAGCAGAGGCUCAGCUGGAUGGUCCAGGGAUGGGGGGGGCACCUGGUCUUUCCUCUUACGUGGACCUCCUGGCCCCAGUGAAGGACAGCAACGUAGAAGUAGUGACCCGGAAUCAUAGACUCCCUGCUCUCAUAACCCCACGCACCCAGGGUCAUGCACUCCUAUGACCAGGGCAGCCUGCAGGAGCGACAAAGCCUUAGCCUGCCCAAUAAUCCACUUACCCACACUCUUACUGACACAGAAUCACAGCAUGCUGUCUGGACAGAAUGAAGCCUACCACCUGGCCUCCUAUCUUUAUCAAUCCUUCAGCCUUUGACCCUAACUCACCUCUUGACAAAGGGGGAGCACAGAGCGGACGUGGCUGGAUGGGGACAGAGACGUGAAGACAUCUGAGACCCCAGACCCAGGGCGAGGUGUCCGCUGACCUAGUCUCCUUGCCCCUGACUUGCUGGGAGAACAGCAGUGGCUGCUUGCGGUGCUGGUGGUGGGGGGGUGCCAAGGGGGGCGUACAACCCUGCCCCUGGCAUCUGCUGCAUGUUCCUUAAUGCCUUUGCUUGGGGAGGAGUCUGGGCUUUUGUUUCACAAGCAGGGGAUUCACUUAGAUGGCGCUGCUGGCUCCACCGCCCGGGCCCUGAUUCCUCAUCCAUAACGUGAAAGGGUGAGUCCAGUCGUUCUGCAAAGGCGCCCCGUCUCUUUGGGGCCCCAGGGUGGGCUGGCGGAGCUGAGAGCUGGAGGCGGGCACUGGCACCUGCCUCCACAUGGACUGAAUCAUGAGCCACUGCACCUGCCGGCCCUCCACUCCCCCGAAGAGAGCUCAGGGUGGAGACCAGGAGUGAGGCCCUCGGUGCUCUGGGCAAACUGGCAGAACAGGGCCUCAGACAGUUAGGCGUUUUCCGGAGAAUUCUUUAGGAGCCCAAUGCCUUAUCUCCUGGUAUCUAGAAAAGCACUAAAAUCCUUCAUGGUGACAUCCGCGCCUCGUGACUAGCAGUGACCUUCAUGAGACUAGCAGCGACCUUCUGCAAAAUGCAGGGUGGGCAGGUGAGGGGUGGGCCCACGGCUGCCCUUGGACGCAGCGCUGGGACGUGGGGAGGGCAGCUGGGUGGAGACAGGACAUCCGAAGGCAGACCGGGGCCCAGGACCCAGAGCCUGGGGAUGCAGGUAAAGAAAAGCACCCUGAUGACAGGCAUGUUAACGAGUGAUGCUGGUAGAGCUCCACUCCUCUGGAGGAAGGGGCUGCAUUUAUAGCCAUUUCUGCAAAGCAGUUCCUCUUACAGUAACGACUGCCUUUGAUCUACUGCUCCCUCUUAAAGAGCCUGGUGUUGUGUUAGGAACCUCGGACUCAAAUUGCGAGCAAACCUUGCCUCACCCACUCGGUGUUUUGGGGUUCCUCUGUCUGUGCCAAGAGGGUGGUUUCACCUUUUGGGCCAAGUGGCACAGGCCUCAGUGGCCCAAGUCACGCGGUGUCAGGACUGACUGGGGGGGCAGGGGCGCCCAGUGGGCUGUGAGGAGGGUGCUAGCCACGUGGGGGAGCCCCGGGGCCCGGGUGCUCUGCCCUCAGGUGAGCUGGCCAUGCAGCACCACCGAUAGUGAGGGGAGAGCCGAGGCUUCAGAGCUGUUUCAGGACAGCUGGAAACGGGGGUCGUUCAGAGUGACCCUUGAAGCUGUGGGUGGGAACACACGUCCUGUGACAGGUGCCCUGAAAGAGGAAGGCCCAAUGGGGUUGAGGACCUGCAAGCCUCUGCCCAGAACAGGCAAGUGGACCAUCCACAGGCGCCUGAGCCCAGAGACACCGGUUGGAACCUGUCAGUCCACUCCCGGCUCCAGACUGUGCAACCCUGGACCCGUCCCUAUGUCUGAGUUCCAGCUUCCUCACCAACAAAGGGGGCCGUAUGACACAUGACAAUUCAAAUACAUCCCUGGAGCCUCCAGGGGGCCUGGUACUGGAGCCACCAAUAAAUGGCCAUCCCUGUGGGGUGAUUUUCACUGCUACGCUGUCUUGGCCUCCAGAGUCAUGCUCCCUGCACCCCCUGGGGUGGGGAGCAUCGUGCCCAAACGCACCGCCAGGAGGCCAACCCGCUGGGGACUUUGAGCCACUGUGACUUCUAACUGCACGGCUGUCACUGCUUUUCCAGGGGAGGUCAGAGGAGGUACUUUCCUCUCCUGGAGCAUCCACAUUCUCUGAGGCACAAGGGGAACGAUAUCGAUACAUGACCGCAAACACUUUUAGAAAGGAUGACAAAUACACAAUCUCAGAAAGCCGUCUACAAACACAGGCCACUUGUUUACCCACGAGGACGGGGGACGGUGACCAAAUAGACAACGGAAAUCCACCAGUAAUCCCGCAACCCCAUUAGGCUCAACACCCCCUUCAAACUGAGGCUGGGAGCGAGCAGCCAGGCGGAUCUGUCCACUGUCACUGCCUCCCUUUCCUUGCUCGGACUCCCGGAGGGAGAACGGGGAGCGCUCAGCCCCCGGCUGGUCCUCAACCAGAGCCGACGGGCAGACAAUCAGCCUGGAGCGUCACACCCGGAAGGGUCCGGACUCGUCUGCACAACGUCCUCUAAUUCCUCCCUGGCACCUGCAGCCGGUCAGGCAUCUACCCCUACCUAUCCACCUGCCCGUCUAUGAACCUACCCAGCUGUCUAGACGGGUUCUUAAACAUCAAAUAGGACCUGAGCAGAGUCAAGGCGUAGGAGGUCGGCAAGGAGUCUAAGCAUCAUUUCAGUCCAACCUCUCCACCCUGCGGAUGACGGGUGGGCGGGCUCUGGAGGGUUCUGUGGAGCAGGUGGAGGAGGGGCUGGCCGAGCCAAGGCCUGUUCUGAGGACUGACGGGAGGGAGUCAAGGACGGUCAGGAAGGAUGCAGGGCACAGAGGAGAACGUGAGCCCCGGGUCCCUGUCUGGAGUCCCUGCUGACGGUUUAUCCUCUCAUCCUGGUGACCGGAGGGGAGUGAGAGCUACGGGGCUGUGGUCCUGCCACAUUGCUCGAUGACCAACACAACUCUGCUAGCUUCUGUCCCACCCCUAACGAGACUGCCUGGGCACUGCAACAAUCCGAGGCUAAAACAAGCAGGGGACACGCAACACUUCUUCCCCCGCCCCGCUCCCUCCCAGUGGCUGCUCUGCUGCCCUGCGCCCGACCAGAGCAGAGGGGCCCGCAGCGGGCUUCCAGGGCUCCCCCUCGCCCUGGCCUCUCCCGGCCCAGCUCGGCCACUCUUCCUUCUUCAGCGGCGGAGGCAGGACCCUGGGGCCCCCGGCUGACUUCCCACAUCCCCGUGUCACAUGCUUUUGUGUGGCCUGGGGUGUGUGGCUCUGAACUGGCCAACCCACUUCAACUGGAGGCCCAGGCCACGUGCUGAGAGAGUCAAGCUCUGCCCAGCACGUUGGUCAUAUUUCUGGGUGAUACGUUCGCAUCUGGACACUUUUCCAACUGUUUUUUUUUUUUUUUUUGAAAAAUUUCCCCUUUCCUUUGAUUGUCGUAAUCCCUUCCACUGCAUCUUCGUCCAGACGUUUGGUCAAAUUCAUGGAUUUUCCCCACAAUCUUCUCUCGAAACCUCACCCACUUCGUGGCAACUGAGAUCUGUGUGAGCUUCAUAUUCCCAAGCGGUUCUGAGUUACCACAGAGAGACAGUCAUCUCUGAAAUCUAACUUCAUUUUGCCCUGCGCCCUCCAUCCCUUCACGCCUUCCAUGUGUCACCAAGACUCCUGGCACGAUGACACAGGUGCUGUGGCAUAUCUGGCUACCUGUGCCGGGUCAUUCACACGCAUGCUCUGAUAAGCCCCCACAGCAGCUGCCUGAAGCAGUUCAGUGUCUGAGACGACGCUGUUUGCAAAACAAACCCGGAAGGGCCUUCUACUGCACUCUAGUCUCCAAAAGGGGUGGAGCUGCUCCCUGUUUUAACCCUGUGCUGCUGGCUGCCACCCACCCCGCAGCCGUUCUCAGCAUGUCACCACCGGGAACCCCUCCUGACUCUCCCCCACGGGCUUCCUUGUGUUCAGGGAGCCCUGUCUUACAAGCAACUGGCUUUUCCUUUCAGUUCAUCCAAGCCAGACAUCAGCCACUGCCAAGCAAAGUUACUGACCUGACUGCUAGUGCAAAGCAGCAGUGCCCACUGUUCAGGUGGCAUGGAAGACUUGACGGUGGGUGAAGCGG